GCCAGAGUGAGGAGGCAGGGUUUGGGGGCUUUGUAUCCACUGUUCUCCACGCACAGGGAGACAGGCCAGGGAUUCCAUGCUUCCUCCAAGACCUGGCCUGGGCUGCUAGACAGAGGUGGCCAUGAUUAGCAGCUCCAGUUGACCUGGGCAUGUGACUUGGGCAGUGUCUCCCAUUGGGGAAAUGGGAUCUUGGUUCUGGCUCCACGGUCAGGAAAGCUGCCUUCGCCCAGGGUCCCCUUCUUGCCGCUGGGAGGUUCUGCUGGGCCCAGCCUCAGUCCUCACCAUGUUCUUCUUGCUGGAUUGGCAGGGGCCUUCUUAAUGGAUUCUCCUCCAGCUCACAUUCCAUGCUCCAGGUUGUGGGAACAACAGCUUGAAUUACGGAAAGAAGUUUCCCCACUGAGUUAAUCUGCAGUGGCUGGAGGUGACCUUCUGGAGACGGCGAUUAAUCACGGGCCGUGGCGGGCGCCGCGCCACGCCGGGCCCUUUGGGGGAAUACUAAUUCCACUACAAGAUAAAUCAUAAUUUGAC
Molecule: long non-coding RNA, 528 nt
Filed under: Homo sapiens (human)
Lineage: Eukaryota; Metazoa; Chordata; Mammalia; Primates; Hominidae
Description: non-protein coding lnc-PSD2-2:2
Source: RNAcentral